RNAcentral lists this RNase P RNA (375 nucleotides) under Salmonella enterica. RNAcentral's name for it is "RNase P RNA component class A". It matches the Rfam family "Bacterial RNase P class A". From Rfam's summary of the family: Ribonuclease P (RNase P) is a ubiquitous endoribonuclease, found in archaea, bacteria and eukarya as well as chloroplasts and mitochondria. Its best characterised activity is the generation of mature 5'-ends of tRNAs by cleaving the 5'-leader elements of precursor-tRNAs. Lineage: Bacteria; Pseudomonadati; Pseudomonadota; Gammaproteobacteria; Enterobacterales; Enterobacteriaceae. The record is from RNAcentral.
GAAGCUGACCAGACAGUCGCCGCUUCGUCGUCGUCCUUUCGGGGAGACGGGCGGAGGGGAGGAAAGUCCGGGCUCCAUAGGGCAGGGUGCCAGGUAACGCCUGGGGGGGAAACCCACGACCAGUGCAACAGAGAGCAAACCGCCGAUGGCCCACGUAAGUGGGAUCAGGUAAGGAUGAAAGGGUGCGGUAAGAGCGCACCGCGCGGCUGGUAACAGUCCGUGGCACGGUAAACUCCACCCGGAGCAAGGCCAAAUAGGGGUUCAUAAGGUACGGCCCGUACUGAACCCGGGUAGGCUGCUUGAGCCAGUGAGCGAUUGCUGGCCUAGAUGAAUGACUGUCCACGACAGAACCCGGCUUAUCGGUCAGUUUCACUU